GGUCGGGAACCACUGGAACGGUGGCUAAUACCGGAUGUGCCGAGAGGUGAAAGGUUAACUGCCUGGAGAUGAGCUCGCGUCUGAUUAGCUAGUUGGUGGUGUAAGGGACUACCAAGGCGACGAUCAGUAGCUGGUCUGAGAGGAUGAUCAGCCACACUGGAACUGAGACACGGUCCAGACUCCUACGGGAGGCAGCAGUGGGGAAUUUUCCGCAAUGGGCGAAAGCCUGACGGAGCAAUACCGCGUGAGGGAGGAAGGCUCUUGGGUUGUAAACCUCUUUUCUCAGGGAAUAAGCAAGUGAAGGUACCUGAGGAAUCAGCAUCGGCUAACUCCGUGCCAGCAGCCGCGGUAAUACGGAGGAUGCAAGCGUUAUCCGGAAUGAUUGGGCGUAAAGCGUCCGUAGGUAGCAGUGUGUGUCUAUUGUUAAAGAGUUUGGCUUAACCAAAUAAAGGCGGUAGAAACUACACAGCUAGAGUGCGUUCGGGGCAGAGGGAAUUCCUGGUGUAGCGGUGAAAUGCGUAGAGAUCAGGAAGAACACCGGUGGCGAAAGCGCUCUGCUAGGCCGCAACUGACACUGAGGGACGAAAGCUAGGGGAGCGAAAGGGAUUAGAUACCCCUUGUAGUCAAAA
This 629-nucleotide ribosomal RNA is filed under the name Westiellopsis prolifica AUS-JR/MT/NT-098. RNAcentral describes it as "bacterial SSU rRNA". It matches the Rfam family "Bacterial small subunit ribosomal RNA", at positions 135 to 799 of the family's 1533-position model. RNAcentral also lists the same sequence under 1 other name. Lineage: Bacteria; Bacillati; Cyanobacteriota; Cyanophyceae; Nostocales; Hapalosiphonaceae. The record is from RNAcentral.